AGGCUGGAUGGAUUGGUGCUGCUGGAAGGAUUGGCUCUGCUCCAGACAUGCACAGCAAAUGUGCUAAGGCUGCAGCAUCGUGUCCCUGCUGGAAGGUUCAAGGAUGGAUCCUGACAAAGAGCAGGAGAAUAUAAUUCCUAUACCAAUUAAUUCCAGCGCUGAUGCACCCCCAAAUGAUGAUGCACAGUGAUGGAUUCGAAUACAGUGACCAAUGUUCCAUUAUGAUAGAGUAUGCAUGUAUACAUAUACUGCGUAGCUGCUGC
This 263-nucleotide long non-coding RNA is filed under the name Volvox carteri. RNAcentral describes it as "long non-coding RNA (VCAR_LNC003911)". Lineage: Eukaryota; Viridiplantae; Chlorophyta; Chlorophyceae; Chlamydomonadales; Volvocaceae. The record is from RNAcentral.